Molecule: ribosomal RNA, 379 nt
Filed under: uncultured eukaryote
Lineage: Eukaryota
Description: partial 18S ribosomal RNA
Rfam family: Eukaryotic small subunit ribosomal RNA
Source: RNAcentral
CAAUAGCGUAUAUUUAAGUUGUUGCAGUUAAAAAGCUCGUAGUUGGAUUUCGGAUGGGAUUUGCCGGUCCGUCGUUACGAUGUGCACUGGCCAGUCCUAUCUUGUUGUCGGGGACUAGCUCCUUGGAUUCACUUCCUGGGACUAGGAGCUGACGAGGUUACUUUGAGUAAAUUAGAGUGUUCAAAGCAAGCCUACGCUCUGAAUACAUUAGCAUGGAAUAACACGAUAGGACUCUGGCUUAUCUUGUUGGUCUGUGAGACCAGAGUAAUGAUUAAGAGGGACAGUCGGGGACAUUCGUAUUUCAUUGUCAGAGAUGAAAUUCUUGGAUUUAUGAAAGACGAACUUCUGCGAAAGCAUUUGUCAAGGAUGUUUUCAUUAA